AAGUCGUAACAAGGUUUCCGUAGGUGAACCUGCGGAAGGAUCAUUACUAGAGCAAAGGACAGGCAGCGCCCCACAGGAGUUUGCUCCCGUGGCGGGCUACCCUACUCCGGUAGGGUUUAGAGCCGUCGGACCUCUCAAAGAAGUCCGGUCCUGACCUCCACCCUUGAAUAUGCUACCUUUGUUGCUUUGGCGGGCCGCCUUGUGCCAGCGGCUUCGGCUGUUGAGCGCCCGCCAGAGGACCACAACUCUUGUCUUUAGUGAUGUCUGAGUACUAUAUAAUAGUUAAAACUUUCAACAACGGAUCUCUUGGUUCUGGCAUCGAUGAAGAACGCAGCGAAAUGCGAUAAGUAAUGUGAAUUGCAGAAUUCAGUGAAUCAUCGAAUCUUUGAACGCACAUUGCGCCCUCUGGUAUUCCGGGGGGCAUGCCUGUUCGAGCGUCAUUAUAACCACUCAAGCUCACGCUUGGUCUUGGGGUCCGCGUUCUCGCGGCCCCUAAAAUCAGUGGCGGUGCCGGUCGGCUCUACGCGUAGUAAUACUCCUCGCGUCUGGGUCCGGCCGGUUUACUUGCCAGCAACCCCUAAUUUAUACAGGUUGACCUCGGAUCAGGUAGGGAUACCCGCUGAACUUAAGCAUAUCAAUAAGCGGAGGACAAGAAACCAAAAGGGAUUACCCCAGUAACGGCGAGUGAAGCGGUAACAGCUCAAAUUUGAAAGCUAGCUCUUCUAGGGUUCGCAUUGUAAUUUGUAGAAGAUGCUUCGGGUGUGGCCCCGGUCUAAGUUCCUUGGAACAGGACGUCAUAGAGGGUGAGAAUCCCGUACGUGACUGGGUGCUUUCGCUCAUGUGAAGCUCUUUCGACGAGUCGAGUUGUUUGGGAAUGCAGCUCAAAAUGGGUGGUAUAUUUCAUCUAAAGCUAAAUAUUGGCCAGAGACCGAUAGCGCACAAGUAGAGUGAUCGAAAGAUGAAAAGCACUUUGGAAAGAGAGUUAAACAGUACGUGAAAUUGUUGAAAGGGAAGCGCUUGCAACCAGACUUGCGCGCUGACGAUCAUCCGGGCUUUUGCCCGGUGCACUCGCCUGCGCUCAGGCCAGCAUCGGUUUCGGUGGUGGGAUAAAGGCCUUGGGAAUGUAGCUCCUCUCGGGGAGUGUUAUAGCCCUCGGUGCAAUGCCGCCUACCGGGACCGAGGACCGCGCUUCGGCUAGGAUGCUGGCGUAAUGGUUGUAAGCGACC
This 1226-nucleotide ribosomal RNA is filed under the name uncultured fungus. RNAcentral's name for it is "eukaryotic LSU rRNA". The stretch from base 593 to 1226 matches the Rfam family "Eukaryotic large subunit ribosomal RNA", at positions 1 to 649 of the family's 3401-position model. Lineage: Eukaryota; Fungi. The record is from RNAcentral.